GCUUUCAUUCAAACCUUGUAUCUGCACCACGGCUCUUGAGGAGGAGAUUUUGGUUAUUGUUCGUGGUUUUGUUGCAAGGUGUGCUGAACAGAGAGCAGAGAGUUACAGGACGGUCAACAACAAAUCAGAGUGCUACAGGAUGGUCAACAACAGAGCAGAGAGGUACAGAGCAGUGGUCAACAGAGCAAAGAGCUACAGCAAUUGAUGAGGCUUGUUGCGGCACAACUGAGGGUAAGGAGAAUGGGCCUGCCAGGAAGAGAAAAUACCCUUCACAGUGGAAAGGAGAGGUUCAGAUGAGGAGGAUGGAGGGUAAAGCCUACCUUGGCAGGAAAAAGGAUGAAGGGGAGCUGACGAGAGAGCCACACAAUAUGGGACCAGGAUGUGUGUCAGAGUGAUGCCGAAAGUCCUCCAAGCGCUUCUGCAAUGCAAUCAGUGAUGAGGACAGAGAAGAUUUUCCAGUACUUCUGGCAAAAGUUGGACUGUGAUGAGAGUAAGGUGUAUGUUUGUGGUCUUGUUGACUGCAGUUCAGUGCAAGUCUGAGAAAGUGAAUGUUAGAAGGACAUCUACACUGGCAUACCUUCUUAAAGUUGGUUGGGAGAAGAAGAGGGUAUGUAAAAACAUGUUCCUGUCAACUCUUGGCUUGGGUGAAUGGUCAAUGCAACACUGGGUGCAAACGAAGGAGACUGAAGUCAGAUUAAAAUAAUGGACAGUAACCAUUUGAAUUAUCCAUAAAAUAGAAAAUGUUUAAAAAACUGCAGUACUCACUGGCCACAACAUCAUGAUGAAGCAAAAUGCAUCAUAUGAUGCAAAACCAUCAUCAUGAUGAUGUAGCCGGUGACACUUUCCUUCUUGAAAGUCCAAUAUC
Long non-coding RNA from Coregonus clupeaformis (lake whitefish), 865 nucleotides. RefSeq lists it as uncharacterized. The transcript has 3 exons. NCBI's taxonomy places the organism in Eukaryota, Metazoa, Chordata, Actinopteri, Salmoniformes, Salmonidae. The record is from RefSeq and is a predicted model, not a curated record.